GCGAACGCUGGCGGCAGGCCUAACACAUGCAAGUCGCACGAACUCUUCGGAGUUAGUGGCGGACGGGUGAGUAACACGUGGGAACGUGCCUUUUGGUUCGGAAUAACUCAGGGAAACUUGUGCUAAUACCGAAUGUGCCCUUCGGGGGAAAGAUUUAUCGCCAUUAGAGCGGCCCGCGUCUGAUUAGCUAGUUGGUGAGGUAACGGCUCACCAAGGCGACGAUCAGUAGCUGGUCUGAGAGGAUGACCAGCCACACUGGGACUGAGACACGGCCCAGACUCCUACGGGAAGCAGCAGUGGGGAAUCUUGCGCAAUGGGCGAAAGCCUGACGCAGCCAUGCCGCGUGAAUGAUGAAGGUCUUAGGAUUGUAAAAUUCUUUCACCGGGGACGAUAAUGACGGUACCCGGAGAAGAAGCCCCGGCUAACUUCGUG
Molecule: ribosomal RNA, 432 nt
Filed under: uncultured bacterium
Lineage: Bacteria
Description: partial 16S ribosomal RNA
Rfam family: Bacterial small subunit ribosomal RNA
Source: RNAcentral